UUUGAUCCUGGCUCAGGAUGAACGCUGGCGGUAUGCUUAACACAUGCAAGUCGAACGGGAUGCUUAGGCAUCUAGUGGCGGACGGGUGAGUAACGCGUGAGAAUCUGGCUCCAGGUCGGGGAUAACAGUUGGAAACGACUGCUAAUACCGGAUGUGCCGAGAGGUGAAAGAUUUAUUGCCUGGAGAUGAGCUCGCGUCUGAUUAGCUAGUUGGUGGUGUAAGGGACCACCAAGGCAUCGAUCAGUAGCUGGUCUGAGAGGAUGAUCAGCCACACUGGGACUGAGACACGGCCCAGACUCCUACGGGAGGCAGCAGUGGGGAAUUUUCCGCAAUGGGCGAAAGCCUGACGGAGCAAUACCGCGUGAGGGAGGAAGGCUCUUGGGUCGUAAACCUCUUUUCUCAAGGAAGAAGAAAGUGACGGUACUUGAGGAAUAAGCAUCGGCUAACUCCGUGCCAGCAGCCGCGGUAAUACGGAGGAUGCAAGCGUUAUCCGGAAUGAUUGGGCGUAAAGGGUCUGCAGGUGGAACUGAAAGUCUGCUGUUAAAGAGUUUGGCUUAACCAAAUAAAAGCGGUGGAAACUACAGAACUAGAGUGUGGUAGGGGCAAAAGGAAUUCCUGGUGUAGCGGUGAAAUGCGUAGAUAUCAGGAAGAACACCGGUGGCGAAAGCGUUUUGCUAGACCAUAACUGACACUGAGGGACGAAAGCUAGGGGAGCGAAUGGGAUUAGAUACCCCAGUAGUCCUAGCCGUAAACGAUGGAUACUAGGCGUGGCUUGUAUCGACCCGAGCCGUGCCGGAGCUAACGCGUUAAGUAUCCCGCCUGGGGAGUACGCACGCAAGUGUGAAACUCAAAGGAAUUGACGGGGGCCCGCACAAGCGGUGGAGUAUGUGGUUUAAUUCGAUGCAACGCGAAGAACCUUACCAAGACUUGACAUCCUGCGAAUCCUGGUGAAAGCUGGGAGUGCCUUAGGGAGCGCAGAGACAGGUGGUGCAUGGCUGUCGUCAGCUCGUGUCGUGAGAUGUUGGGUUAAGUCCCGCAACGAGCGCAACCCUCGUUUUUAGUUGCCAGCAUUAAGUUGGGCACUCUAGAGAGACUGCCGGUGACAAACCGGAGGAAGGUGAGGAUGACGUCAAGUCAGCAUGCCCCUUACGUCUUGGGCUACACACGUACUACAAUGCUACGGACAGAGGGCAGCAAGCCAGGGAUGGCAAGCGAAUCCAGAAACCGUAGCUCAGUUCAGAUCGAAGGCUGCAACUCGCCUUCGUGAAGGAGGAAUCGCUAGUAAUUGCAGGUCAGCAUACUGCAGUGAAUUCGUUCCCGGGCCUUGUACACACCGCCCGUCACACCAUGGAAGUUGGUCACGCCCGAAGUCAUUACCCCAACCGAAAGGAGGGGGAUGCCUAAGGUAGGACU
Molecule: ribosomal RNA, 1413 nt
Filed under: Cylindrospermopsis raciborskii CHAB487
Lineage: Bacteria; Bacillati; Cyanobacteriota; Cyanophyceae; Nostocales; Aphanizomenonaceae
Description: bacterial SSU rRNA
Rfam family: Bacterial small subunit ribosomal RNA
Source: RNAcentral